RNAcentral lists this ribosomal RNA (320 nucleotides) under uncultured bacterium. RNAcentral describes it as "bacterial SSU rRNA". It matches the Rfam family "Bacterial small subunit ribosomal RNA", at positions 29 to 375 of the family's 1533-position model. The record is from RNAcentral.
AACGAACGCUGGCGGCAUGCCUAACACAUGCAAGUCGAACGAGACCUUCGGGUCUAGUGGCGCACGGGUGCGUAACGCGUGGGAAUCUGCCCUUGGGUUCGGAAUAACAGUUAGAAAUGACUGCUAAUACCGGAUAAUGUCUUCGGACCAAAGAUUUAUCGCCCAGGGAUGAGCCCGCGUAGGAUUAGCUAGUUGGUGAGGUAAAGGCUCACCAAGGCGACGAUCCUUAGCUGGUCUGAGAGGAUGAUCAGCCACACUGGGACUGAGACACGGCCCAGACUCCUACGGGAGGCAGCAGUGGGGAAUAUUGGACGAAUAGG